CUGUUAACCAUGAUGGUUAUGUUCUGAUUAGAGAAAGCACAUUCUAACCUGGCUCCGAGUUGUAAGCCUUGGGACAUGGGAGCUAACAUUGGAAUGCAGUCCAUCCUCCUGUCCUGAGAAGUGCCC
Molecule: long non-coding RNA, 126 nt
Organism: Pipistrellus kuhlii (Kuhl's pipistrelle)
Lineage: Eukaryota; Metazoa; Chordata; Mammalia; Chiroptera; Vespertilionidae
Exons: 3
Source: RefSeq, a predicted model, not a curated record